RNAcentral lists this ribosomal RNA (253 nucleotides) under uncultured bacterium. Its description in RNAcentral is "partial 16S ribosomal RNA". It matches the Rfam family "Bacterial small subunit ribosomal RNA", at positions 524 to 776 of the family's 1533-position model. The record is from RNAcentral.
UACAGAGGUCCCGAGCGUUGUUCGGAUUUAUUGGGCGUAAAGGGUGCGUAGGCGGCGGAGUAAGCUGGGUGUGAAAUCCCGGGGCUUAACCUCGGAAUGGCAUUCAAUACUGCUUCGCUAGAGUACUGGAGAGGAGGCUGGAAUUUACGGUGUAGCAGUGAAAUGCGUAGAUAUCGUAAGGAAGGCCGGUGGCGAAAGCGAGCCUCUGGACAGUUACUGACGCUGAUGCACGAAGGCCAGGGGAGCAAACGGG